ACUCCUACGGGAGGCAGCAGUAGGGAAUCUUCCACAAUGGGCGCAAGCCUGAUGGAGCAACACCGCGUGAGUGAAGUAAGGGUUUCGGCUCGUAAAGCUCUGUUAGUUAAAGAAGAACACGUAUGAGAGUAACUGUUCAUACGUUGACGGUAUUUAACCAGAAAGUCACGGCUAACUACGUGCCAGCAGCCGCGGUAAUACGUAGGUGGCAAGCGUUAUCCGGUAUUUAUUGGGCGUAAAGAGAGUGCAGGUCGGUUUUCUAAGUCUGAUGUGAAAGCCUUCGGCUUAACCGGAGAAGUGCAUCGGAAACUGGAUAACUUGAGUGCAGAAGAGGGUAGUGGAACUCCAUGUGUAGCGGUGGAAUGCGUAGAUAUAUGGAAGAACACCGAGUGGCGAAGGCGGCUACCGUGGUCUGCAACGUGACGCUGAGACUCGAAACGCAUGGGUAGCGAACAGGAUUACGAUACCCCGUGGUAGGAUAGCG
Molecule: ribosomal RNA, 484 nt
Filed under: uncultured bacterium
Lineage: Bacteria
Description: bacterial SSU rRNA
Rfam family: Bacterial small subunit ribosomal RNA
Source: RNAcentral